This is a long non-coding RNA of Pogoniulus pusillus (Red-fronted tinkerbird), 631 nucleotides long. RefSeq lists it as uncharacterized. NCBI's taxonomy places the organism in Eukaryota, Metazoa, Chordata, Aves, Piciformes, Lybiidae. The record is from RefSeq and is a predicted model, not a curated record. The transcript has 2 exons.
UCUACCUCUCUCUUUAUUGCUUAAUCAUAAGUGGCAAGAGAUAAUCAACCAGUCAUGAUCCUGGCAUGGUAGAAAGACUGCACUGGAAAUUGGUUUGCCUGAAGAAAGGAAGUGGUAUUUCUAUGAUACAGCACCUUGAGUGUCUCCCCUCUGGAAUGAAAUUUCUGAGAACCUGACUACUGAUCUAAGCAACAUAUUUUAAUUCAUACCUACCAAGUUCAUGCACUCUGAAAGAGGAUACCUAAACAGAAGUGAUGUGAAGAUCAUCUAUCUUGACUGCAUCUUCAGUGAAUAACCCUACAUCUUCUUCAGUGUCCUUUUAUAUCAGGCUCACAGAAAGAGCAAAUAGGAAUCACUUUUCUAUUUCAUUCUUUCCCAUAUGUGAAGCUUGUGGGGCACUGAGAUUAUUUUUUUAAUGGAUCAAUAAAUCACAUACUUAUGUCUUUGUGAAAACUUCGACCUAAGUGAAAUUGUAGCUUCCAUCCCAUGAACUACCCCAUUUAUUUCAAUGGGAACACCACUGUCAUCAAAAAAAGCUUGAAAGAUUCCAGUCUUCAGAGGAUAGACAGUACUCCAACCCCCAAGGGCUCUUCAAGAUGUUGAUUACUGUUAUUCUUUUUAAAGGGAAUAA